ACUCAAAACCUUGGAACUCAGGCUCCUGCAAAACUUCAACGAACAUAUUGAGGCAUAUAUUUCCUGGUGAGCGACUCUCUGAGUGGACUUCACAAGAGAAAAUACUAUAUUGGCGCAGUUCAUUAUCAAGAUCCUGUAUUUCUUUAUCAAGAGCUUGCACUUUUGCAUCUUCACCAUUAAGAGCAGCAUCACUUUGAGUUUUCUUUAGAUUUUCCAGAUGGCAGAGUGCAACAUAGUGCAGUUCAUCCUUCAAUUUGGAAAAGAAUUCCACAUAAUCAUUUAGCUCUAUUUUGGUAGAAUAUUUUGUAUGACACUCUUGAAGACCAUGAACAGAGGUCUGGUCUUCAGCUCUGGCUCCUGUAGAGGCAUCUUGAAAUUCCCAGGAAUCAUCAUCAAAAUCAUGAUUAGCAUUUGUCAAAUUAGAGGACAUCACAGUUUUGGUGAAAUCCAAUUCAUUUUCACUCAGACUUUGUUCAUGAUUAACUAAAUGACUCUGCUCAGCUUGACUGUAUAAAUUCGAUAUUAGAUCAUUGAUAGAAAUAUUAAAAUGGGGACUCUUAAU
Molecule: unclassified non-coding RNA, 562 nt
Filed under: Hevea brasiliensis (rubber tree)
Lineage: Eukaryota; Viridiplantae; Streptophyta; Magnoliopsida; Malpighiales; Euphorbiaceae
Source: RNAcentral